AGCAGCCGCGGUAAUUCCAGCUCCAAUAGCGUAUAUUAAAGUUGUUGCAGUUAAAAAGCUCGUAGUUGAAUUUCGGGGUUAGUAGGUUGGUCGUGCCUCAGGUAUGUACUGAUCUCACUGAUUCCUCCUUCCUGAUGAACCGUAAUGCCAUUAAUUUGGUGUUGCGGGGAAACUGGACUGUUACUUUGAAAAAUUAGAGUGUUUAAAGCAGGCUAACGCUUGAAUACAUUAGCAUGGAAUAAUGAAAUAGGACGUUCGAUCCUAUUUUGUUGGUUUCUAGGACUGACGUAAUGAUUAAUAGGGAUAGUUGGGGGCAUUAGUAUUCAAUUGUCAGAGGUGAAAAUUCUUGGAUUUAUUGAAGACUAACUACUGCGAAAAGCAUUUGCCAAGGAUGUUUUCAUUAAUCAAGAACGAAAGUUAGGGGAUCGAAGACGAUCAGAUACCGUCGUA
Molecule: ribosomal RNA, 450 nt
Filed under: uncultured Glomus
Lineage: Eukaryota; Fungi; Glomeromycota; Glomeromycetes; Glomerales; Glomeraceae
Description: SSU rRNA
Rfam family: Eukaryotic small subunit ribosomal RNA
Source: RNAcentral